UACGUAGGUGGCAAGCGUUAUCCGGAAUUAUUGGGCGUAAAGCGCUCGCAGGCGGUCUUUUAAGUCUGAUGUGAAAGCCCACGGCUCAACCGUGGAGGGUCAUUGGAAACUGGGGAACUUGAGUGCAGAAGAGGAAAGUGGAAUUCCACGUGUGGCGGUGAAAUGCGUAGAGAUGUGGAGGAACACCAGUGGCGAAGGCGACUUUCUGGUCUGCAACUGACACUGAGGCGCGAAAGCGUGGGUAGCAAACAGG
This 253-nucleotide unclassified non-coding RNA is filed under the name uncultured Bacillaceae bacterium. RNAcentral's name for it is "contains 16S-23S intergenic spacer region". It matches the Rfam family "Bacterial small subunit ribosomal RNA", at positions 524 to 776 of the family's 1533-position model. Lineage: Bacteria; Bacillati; Bacillota; Bacilli; Caryophanales; Bacillaceae. The record is from RNAcentral.